This 567-nucleotide ribosomal RNA is filed under the name Eimeria jerfinica. RNAcentral describes it as "SSU rRNA". It matches the Rfam family "Eukaryotic small subunit ribosomal RNA", at positions 192 to 760 of the family's 1831-position model. Lineage: Eukaryota; Apicomplexa; Conoidasida; Eucoccidiorida; Eimeriidae. The record is from RNAcentral.
CGGGAGGGGCUGUGUUUAUUAGAUACAAAACCAACCCACUUUGUGGAGUCCUGGUGAUUCAUAGUAACCGAACGGAUCGCAGUUGGCUUCGGCCCGCGAUGGAUCUUUCAAGUUUCUGACCUAUCAGCUUUCGACGGUAGGGUAUUGGCCUACCGUGGCAGUGACGGGUAACGGGGAAUUAGGGUUCGAUUCCGGAGAGGGAGCCUGAGAAACGGCUACCACAUCUAAGGAAGGCAGCAGGCGCGCAAAUUACCCAAUGAAAACAGUUUCGAGGUAGUGACGAGAAAUAACAAUACAGGGCAUUUUAUGCUCUGUAAUUGGAAUGAUGGGAAUGUAAAACCCUUCCAGAGUAACAAUUGGAGGGCAAGUCUGGUGCCAGCAGCCGCGGUAAUUCCAGCUCCAAUAGUGUAUAUUAGAGUUGUUGCAGUUAAAAAGCUCGUAGUUGGAUUUCUGUCGUGGUCAUCCGGCUCCGCCCGUAUGGGUGUGCGCCUGGUUUGCCCUCGGCUUUCUUCCGGUAGCCUUCCGCGCUUCACUGCGUGUGUUGGUGUUCCGGAACUUUUACUUUGA